Molecule: ribosomal RNA, 372 nt
Filed under: uncultured bacterium
Lineage: Bacteria
Description: bacterial SSU rRNA
Rfam family: Bacterial small subunit ribosomal RNA
Source: RNAcentral
UACGGAGGAUGCGAGCGUUAUCCGGAUUUAUUGGGUUUAAAGGGUGCGUAGGCGGCCUUGUAAGUCAGCGGUGAAAUUUUGCAGCUUAACUGUAAAAGCGCCGUUGAUACUGUGGAGCUAGGAUUUGGUUGCUGUGGGCGGAAUGUGUGGUGUAGCGGUGAAAUGCUUAGAUAUCACACAGAAUAUCGAUUGCGAAGGCAGCUCACAAAGCCAUUAUUGACGCUGAUGCACGAAAGUGUGGGGAUCAAACAGGAUUAGAUACCCUGGUAGUCCACACUGUAAACGAUGAUAACUCGCUGUCGGCGAUACACAGUCGGUGGCCAAGCGAAAGCGAUAAGUUAUCCACCUGGGGAGUACGACCGCAAGGUUGAA